CCCAGCAUUUCAGGCAGAGCCUCUUCCUUCCACAUCAGAUUGUUUUCACCUUUGUGCCUUCACGGCUGACAGCUGUGUGGAAAAUCCUUCCGCCAAUCUUCCAGGGGUUGAUCUAUUUUUUUCAUUAAGGUCACAAGUAUUAUUUGAUCAGUGAGAACUUCUCUGUCACCCGAAAUUAUACACUCAGCAUUAUCUAUUAUUUCUUUUAAAAUACGGCUCGGCGCCUUGGCUCACGCCUCUAAUCUCAGCACUUUGGGAGGCUGAGACGGGCGGAUCCCUUAAGGUUGGGAGUUUGAGAUAGCCUGGGCAACAUGGUAAAACCUUGUCUGUACUAAAAAAAAAUACCAAAAAAAAAUUAGCCAGGCGUGGUGGGACAUGGGUGUAAUCCCAGCCUCUCGGGAAGCUGAGUGUAGAGAAUCGCUUUAACCUGGGAGGUGGAGGUUGCGGUGAGCCGAGAUCCCGCCACUGCACUCCAGCCUGGGGCAC
Molecule: long non-coding RNA, 486 nt
Filed under: Homo sapiens (human)
Lineage: Eukaryota; Metazoa; Chordata; Mammalia; Primates; Hominidae
Description: HSALNT0262349
Source: RNAcentral